UCGUCGGCGUUUGAAAGAAUCAUAAUUUAAAAAAAGAAAAAUGGAGAAAAAUGUAUUGGAAAUAAAGAAUGAGGUUGAUAGAUUUUUGUUUGAUCCAUGUGAGGAUGUGGAGAGUGAGAAAUUUGAUAUUUUGGCUUGGUGGAAAAAUAAUUGCACAAAAUAUCAAAUUUUAUCUCAAAUUGCAAGAGAUGUAUAUGCCAUUCCAGUUUCUACAGUAGCAUCUGAAUCUGCAUUUAGUACCGGAGGACGUAUUCUUGAUGCAUUUCGAAGUUCAUUGGGUCCAAAGAUGGUGGAGGCUUUGAUUUGUUCACAAAAUUGGUUGAAAUCAAAUCCUAUGAGAUAUGAUUAUAGAGUUGAAGUACCAAUUGAGGAUGUUGCAUAUUAUGAUUCUAUUGAAUCAGGAGCAUCUUGUGUUACAAAACAAAAUCUACCUCCAUCUAAUUGAUCUAUGAUUGCUUGGAUGAAUGGAAUAUGGCUUUGCAUGGCAUAUUGUGAUAAUGGGAUUGUGGUUGAUGGUGGUUGCUCAUGGAAUGAAGUGUGUGGAAGAAGACUAUUUAAAAUAAUUUUUAUUUUUAUGUAUUGUUAGUUUAUUAAAUUCUAAGUUAAUUUUGAAGUUUAAGAUAUCAAAUAUGGUUGUAUUCUAUUUUAUAACUAAUAUUGGUUGUAAACUUGUUGGAGAAUUUAUUUGUUGUUGUAUGAUGUAUUUGUAUAAUUAGGUGAUAGCUAUAAACUUGUAUUGUAGUUGUAUAGUUUUAUGUUGUAUUAUUUCACAUGUUUGAUGCUUAA
Molecule: long non-coding RNA, 786 nt
Organism: Ziziphus jujuba (common jujube)
Lineage: Eukaryota; Viridiplantae; Streptophyta; Magnoliopsida; Rosales; Rhamnaceae
Exons: 3
Source: RefSeq, a predicted model, not a curated record